UAUUAAAAAAUUUAUUCAUUUGUAUUGUUAAAAACUAACGUGGUUGAUCGGAUAAAUAAACAUUGACACGUAGUAUGUCGUGUGUACCUUGUAUUGACGUACAAUGACCAGUUUUUAACAGCAGAAACGAAUAAAAGUUACCC
RNAcentral lists this microRNA precursor (143 nucleotides) under Gossypium arboreum. RNAcentral's name for it is "MIR7502 microRNA precursor family". It matches the Rfam family "MIR7502 microRNA precursor family". The record is from Rfam by way of RNAcentral. Lineage: Eukaryota; Viridiplantae; Streptophyta; Magnoliopsida; Malvales; Malvaceae.